GGACCCUGGGCCACUGCACCCCACCAGGACGGCAGGACUGAAAAGGCCACUGACCUGCUCAUCUGACACCUGAGGGCCGCUGGAGACCCAGGGACACUGGCUGCUGCGGCUCAUGUUUGAAAGCUGUCCGGAGGCGGGACUUCCUCUUCCUCCAGGGGCCGCCGUCCGGAGGCGGGACUUCCUCUUCCUCGGGGACAACUGUCUUUUUCUCUUAAGGCCUUGGACUGCCUGGAUGAGGCUAUAAUAUGGUCAGUACUCCGCUCUACCCAAAGUCUCCUGAUUGAAAUAUUAACCUCAUCCAAGAAACACCCUCACAGCGACGUCUACACUGGUGUUUGACCAAAUAGCUGGGGACCGUGGCCUGGUCGAGCUGACACAAAAGUAACCAUCACAGCUGCUGCUAUGGUCUGAAUGUUGGUGUCACCCCCAGAUUCAUUUGUUAGAACUUAAGCCCCAAGGCGAUGGCAUCACUGGUGGGCUUUGGGAGAUGAGGAGGAUAUGAAUGGGACCAGUAGCCUCAUGAGAGGUUUGAGGGUCCUGGUUGCCCUUCCCCACCCUCCCGUCCCUGCCACUGGGUGAGGACACAGCAAGAAGCUGCCGUCCUGUGAGCAGAGAGCAGAAAGCAGCCCUCACCAGACGCUGAAUCUGCUGGGGCCUCGGUCCUGGACGUCCCAGCCUCCAGAACUGAGCGAUGAAAUUCUGGUUACAAAUUGCCCCCUCUGAGGUAUUUUGUUUUAGCAGAAGGAACAGACGAGGAUGACCACCGAGGCCCUUCUCAGGCUGCCGCGGGUCUCAAGGAUGGGGACAGUCAGCUGGGGCCAACCGAGCUGCAUGUGGUCAAGGGCCCAUGCAUGUGACCAGGGCCCGCCUCCCACGUCACCCAGUGCACCCUCAGCAUGGGACACGGACCUAGACACUGCCGGGGUCUCCGUCCUUGCAGGCACUGCCAGGCGCCCCUCCCUGGGAGAAGCUGCAGCUCUGAGGCUACGGUCUUGCAGGUCAGCCACCACCUGG
RNAcentral lists this non-coding RNA (1014 nucleotides) under Pan troglodytes (chimpanzee). The record is from RNAcentral. Lineage: Eukaryota; Metazoa; Chordata; Mammalia; Primates; Hominidae.